Long non-coding RNA from Rhagoletis zephyria (snowberry fruit fly), 159 nucleotides. RefSeq lists it as uncharacterized. Lineage: Eukaryota; Metazoa; Arthropoda; Insecta; Diptera; Tephritidae. The record is from RefSeq and is a predicted model, not a curated record.
AGUGAUAGGCAAACCGAAUCGUCGAAUUUGUGAGCAUUUGAUUGAGAAUGGGACCAUAGAACCGCGGCGUACGCUCAUUGUGGGCGAUUGUUGCAGCAGUGACAUUUUGUUGGGCUUUAAUUGUGGUUUCCAAACUAUGCUCGUCGGGACGGGCGUAAA